RNAcentral lists this small RNA (28 nucleotides) under Bombyx mori (domestic silkworm). RNAcentral's name for it is "ovarian small RNA-11183". Lineage: Eukaryota; Metazoa; Arthropoda; Insecta; Lepidoptera; Bombycidae. The record is from RNAcentral.
ACAUGUUGCCAGGCCAGCUUGAAGGUAA